GAUGAACGCUGGCGGCGUGCCUAAUACAUGCAAGUCGAGCGAACAGACGAGGAGCUUGCUCCUUCGACGUUAGCGGCGGACGGGUGAGUAACACGUAGGUAACCUACCUAUAAGACUGGGAUAACUUCGGGAAACCGGAGCUAAUACCGGAUAAUAUUUCGAACCGCAUGGUUCGAUAGUGAAAGAUGGCUUUGCUAUCACUUAUAGAUGGACCUGCGCCGUAUUAGCUAGUUGGUAAGGUAACGGCUUACCAAGGCAACGAUACGUAGCCGACCUGAGAGGGUGAGCGGCCACACUGGGAGUGAGACACGGUCCAGACUCCUACGGGAGGCAGCAGUAGGGAAUCUUCCGCAAAGGGCGAAAGCCUGACGGAGCAACGCCGAGUGAGUGAUGAAGGUCUUCGGAUCGUAAAACUCUGUUAUUAGGGAAGAACAAACGUGUAAGUAACUGUGCACGUCUUGACGGUACCUAAUCAGAAAGCCACGGCUAACUACGUG
RNAcentral lists this ribosomal RNA (497 nucleotides) under uncultured bacterium. Its description in RNAcentral is "partial 16S ribosomal RNA". It matches the Rfam family "Bacterial small subunit ribosomal RNA", at positions 28 to 507 of the family's 1533-position model. The record is from RNAcentral.